UCUUGGUAGUUGCAGAAACUUACUUUAAAAAUAAUAAAUAAAAUUCCAAAUUUGAAAUCCAGAAAAUUACAACGGCUUUACUACAACCCACAUAAAAUAAUUUAAAGGUAAUAAUCAAAACUGUAACAUAAACAGUGUGUGUGGCUUCCUCCGAGCCCCUAGCAACCCCGAUCCAUCUAAGGCUGGAAAUUACCUGAAAGGUUAAUAAACGGGGUGAGUUUACGAAAACUCAGUAUGAAAUCCCCUACUAUAAAAAGGAACAGUCAGUCAUCUAAAAGAAUUAAAAGUCUGGCCCCAGCCUUACUUACAAUUUCAGUACCAAUCGGGUCUUAGCCCAUUAGAACAGACAGUACCAGAUGGACCUUAGCCCAUUACAGAAUAAGAAACAUUAUCAGAAUUGGAACCAAAAUGAGAAUAAGAAUCAGAAUCAGUAACAGAAUCAGAAUCAGAAUCAAUAUUAGUAACAGAAUCAGAAUCAGAAUCAGAAUUAGGUGAAAGAAUCAGAAUCAGAAUCAGUAACAGAAUCAGAAUCAGAAUCAGAAUUACGUGACAGAAUCAGAAAAAGAAUGUGAAUGCAAUCCCAACCCAAUCCAGCCGUAUACACCCCCGUACCAACCUUACACCAUGUGGGGAGACAACUCGACCCACCCAUCCGCUACACACCACAGAAUUUGAAGCAUGGCUGCCAGAACAGAUAUCGUGACAGAGUCACCAGAUACAGAUAUUGUGGCAGAGCCACCAGAAUCAAAUAAUGUGGCAAACCCACCUAACAGAAUACGUGGCACAAAGUCAUAGAUAACUGUAAUAACUUUGGUACAUAGCCAUCAGUGACGGUAAUAUAACUGGCGCACAGUCUUCGGUAAAUAUGAUCGACACAGAGUCGUCAACAAAUAUGUUAGGCACAUAGCUACAGGUAAAUACGUUUGGCACGAAGCCAUAGUCAAGAUGGCACAAAGCCAUAUUUAGGUUGGCACAGAGCCAUUAAUAACGGGUCUAUAAUCGGCACGAAGCCCACAACAACGGCACACAGCCUUCGGUAGCGUGAUCGGCACUUAGCCAUUGAUCGGUCAACAGAUAUUGUGACAGAGUCACCAAAUACAGAUAUUGUGGCAGAGCCACCAGAACAGAUAUUUGUGGCAUAGCCACCAGAACGCUUCCUCCGUAUAAAAUCCCAACCCAUGCAACAUGUCAUGUAUGCAGAAUGUCAUGCCCCUAUUUGAAUCAAACAAUCACAGUCAAGUCAUUCAUAUCACCAACAUAUAUUCACAAUCAAAUCCGUCAAACACACAGUCCAAGUCAGUCACUUGCCCACAAGGCAAAACAGUCAUUUAACACCCUAGGGACAAAAUGGUAAUUUUACCUCACAAGGGUAUCUCGGUAUUUCUACCCUACAAGGGUAUUUCGAUAAUUCUACCCUACAGGGGUAUUUUGGUAAUUCUAUCCUAUAAGGGUAUUUCAGUAAUUCUACCCUAUAGGGGUAUUUCAAAAAUUCUACCCUACAGGGGUAUUUCAGUAAUUUCACAAUCAAGGGUAAAACGGUAAUUCUAUAAAUCGAGGGUAAAACGAUAAUUUUGUAAACUGAUGGUAAACUAGUAAUUCUGUAAAUCAAGGGUAAAAUGGUAAUUUUACAAAUCGAGGGUAAAACGAUAAUUCUGUAAAUCGAGGGUAAAACAGUAAUUCUGUAAACUGAGGGUAAAAUGGUAAUUCUGUAAAUCGAGGGUAAAAUAGUAAUUCUGUAAAUUAAGGGUAAAAUAAUAAUUCUGUAAAUCGAGGGUAAAAUAGUAAUUUUACAAAUCGAGGGUAAAACGGUAAUUCUAUAAAUCGAGGGUAAAACAGUAAUUCUGUAAACUGAGGGUAAAACGAUAAUUCUAUAAAUCGAGGGUAAAAUAGUAAUUUUACAAAUCGAGGGUAAAACGGUAAUUCUAUAAAUCGAGGGUAAAACGGUAAUUUUAAAAAUCAAGGGUAAAAUAGUAAUUCUAUAAAUCAAAGGUAAAACGGUAAUUCUGUAAACUGAGGGUAAAAUGGUAAUUCUGUAAAUCGAGGAUAAAACGGUAAUUUUAAAAAUCGAGGGUAAAACGAUAAUUCUGUAAAUCGAGGGUAAAACGGUAAUUCUGUAAAUCGAGGGUAAAACGGUAAUUCUGUAAAUCUAGGGUAAAACGGUAAUUUUAAAAAUCGAGGGUAAAAUGGUAAUUCUGUAAAUCGAGGGUAAAACGGUAAUUCUGUAAAUCGAGAGUACUUUGGUAAUUUUACAAGUCGAGGGCAUUUCAGUAAUUGGUAAACUAAAGUAUUCUAAACAUGGAUAACAAUAAAAAUGGGCCUAAAGCCUAUUCUUGGCCCAAAUGGGCCCACACGCUCGUGUGGCCCUAUUAGCCCAAACCUAGCCACAGAUAUGCGAUUCACCUAGCCUAGUCCAAUAUUUACUACACAAUCAAACAACUUAUCCAAUUGGGCCUGUAGGCCCAUUGGGCCCACAUGGCCCCUUUCGGGCCAUCGCGGCCCGAAGUAGCCAUCCAACAACAAGAGUAGUGAUAAAUACACACCUGAUUGGAGACUGGAG
Molecule: long non-coding RNA, 2557 nt
Filed under: Gossypium barbadense (sea-island cotton)
Lineage: Eukaryota; Viridiplantae; Streptophyta; Magnoliopsida; Malvales; Malvaceae
Description: long non-coding RNA (GBAR_LNC004424)
Source: RNAcentral